RNAcentral lists this ribosomal RNA (783 nucleotides) under Triticum aestivum (bread wheat). RNAcentral describes it as "partial small subunit ribosomal RNA". Lineage: Eukaryota; Viridiplantae; Streptophyta; Magnoliopsida; Poales; Poaceae. The record is from RNAcentral.
AUGUACUUGCGAUGUGUGGUGCACGACACGCCGCGGCAAUGGCGCAAGUGGCUCACUGCGGCAGAAUUCUGGUACAACUCCGCUCAUCAUUCCUCGCUCAAUUGUUCGCUGUUCAAGGCGCUGUACGGCAAGGAACCGAACCUGGGCGGUCUACCACACCUGAGCUCCACUCUGCACAAUCAAGCGGCGUCACCGGAGCUGGACUGGACAGCACACACCGAGAUGCUGCGCGCCCAGCUCACGCGCGCCCAAGCUCGCUUCAAGAAGCAAGCCGAUCGUCACCGCGCGGAGCGCGCCUUCGACGUCGGCGAGAACGUGCUCCUCAAACUGCAGCCGUACGCGCAGUCGACCGUCGCCAACCGCCCGUGCCGCAAGCUCUCCUACAAGUUCUUCGGCCCUUUUGAAGUGACAAAGCGGAUUGGAACCCUGGCAUAUCGCCUGCAGUUGCCUCCAGACAGCCGCAUCCAUCCGGUAUUUCACGUCUCCCAGCUCAAACCCUUCACUCCAGAUUACACUCCAGUCUUCGCCGAGCUGCCGCGGGUACCCGACCUCACUGGGGGUGAAACGGAGCCAGUGGCGAUCUUGGAGCGGAGGAUGAUGAAGAAGGGCAAUGCACCGGUUGUGCAACUCCGUGUCCAGUGGGCAAACAUGCCAACUUCAGCCACCACUUGGGAAGAUUACACCGUUCUUCGCCAACGCUAUCCAUCAGCCUGCAUCUGGGAAGGAGCUUCAUCUCAAGGGGAGGACAAUGUCGCGCCUACUGAUGCAUCAGUGGCGGACUGA